CAGUGAAAAGCCAAACUAGAGGCAUUUAACUGUUAAUUAAAAAACUGAAAUAAUUAUUUCUUCACUGG
RNAcentral lists this transfer RNA (68 nucleotides) under Amphioctopus marginatus. Its description in RNAcentral is "tRNA-Asn". Lineage: Eukaryota; Metazoa; Mollusca; Cephalopoda; Octopoda; Octopodidae. The record is from RNAcentral.